UGAGUGAAGAAGGGUUUCGGCUCGUAAAGCUCUGUUGUUAAAGAAGAACGUGGGUGAGAGUAACUGUUCACCCAGUGACGGUAUUUAACCAGAAAGCCACGGCUAACUACGUGCCAGCAGCCGCGGUAAUACGUAGGUGGCAAGCGUUAUCCGGAUUUAUUGGGCGUAAAGCGAGCGCAGGCGGUCUUUUAAGUCUAAUGUGAAAGCCUUCGGCUCAACCGAAGAAGUGCAUUGGAAACUGGGAGACUUGAGUGCAGAAGAGGACAGUGGAACUCCAUGUGUAGCGGUGAAAUGCGUAGAUAUAUGGAAGAACACCAGUGGCGAAGGCGGCUGUCUGGUCUGUAACUGACGCUGAGGCUCGAAAGCAUGGGUAGCGAACAGGAUUAGAUACCCUGGUAGUCCAUGCCGUAAACGAUGAUUACUAAGUGUUGGAGGGUUUCCGCCCUUCAGUGCUGCAGCUAACGCAUUAAGUAAUCCGCCUGGGGAGUACGACCGCAAGGUUGAAACUCAAAAGAAUUGACGGGGGCCCGCACAAGCGGUGGAGCAUGUGGUUUAAUUCGAAGCUACGCGAAGAACCUUACCAGGUCUUGACAUCUUCUGCCAACCUAAGAGAUUAGGCGUUCCCUUCGGGGACAGAAUGACAGGUGGUGCAUGGUUGUCGUCAGCUCGUGUCGUGAGAUGUUGGGUUAAGUCCCGCAACGAGCGCAACCCUUAUUACUAGUUGCCAGCAUUCAGUUGGGCACUCUAGUGAGACUGCCGGUGACAAACCGGAGGAAGGUGGGGACGACGUCAAAUCAUCAUGCCCCUUAUGACCUGGGCUACACACGUGCUACAAUGGAUGGUACAACGAGUCGCGAAACCGCGAGGUUUAGCUAAUCUCUUAAAACCAUUCUCAGUUCGGACUGUAGGCUGCAACUCGCCUACACGAAGUCGGAAUCGCUAGUAAUCGCGGAUCAGCAUGCCGCGGUGAAUACGUUCCCGGGCCUUGUACACACCGCCCGUCACACCAUGAGAGUUUGUAACACCCAAAGCCGGUGGGGUAACCUUUUAGGAGCUAGCCGUCUAA
This 1066-nucleotide ribosomal RNA is filed under the name Pediococcus acidilactici. RNAcentral's name for it is "bacterial SSU rRNA". It matches the Rfam family "Bacterial small subunit ribosomal RNA", at positions 402 to 1460 of the family's 1533-position model. The record is from RNAcentral. Lineage: Bacteria; Bacillati; Bacillota; Bacilli; Lactobacillales; Lactobacillaceae.